Molecule: small nuclear RNA, 103 nt
Organism: Neogale vison (American mink)
Lineage: Eukaryota; Metazoa; Chordata; Mammalia; Carnivora; Mustelidae
Source: Ensembl
GUACUUGCUUUGGCAGCACAUAGAGUAAAAUCGGAAUGAUGCAGAGAUUAGCAUGGUCAUGUACAAAGGUUACAUGCAAGUUUGGGAAGCAUUCCAUUUUUCU